Molecule: ribosomal RNA, 847 nt
Filed under: uncultured bacterium
Lineage: Bacteria
Description: bacterial SSU rRNA
Rfam family: Bacterial small subunit ribosomal RNA
Source: RNAcentral
GCUGGCGGUGCGCCUUAUGCAUGCAAGUCGAGCGAAGCUUUUCAGUAGUUUACUACAGAAAAUGACUGAGCGGCGAACGGGUGAGUAACGCGUGAGCAAUCUACCUUAGUUACAGGGAUAGCCCGAGGAAACUCGGAUUAAUACCUGAUAUUCUUUACAUUUCGCAUGAAAUCAAAAGGAAAGGUCAGCCGAACUAAGAUGAGCUCGCGUUCUAUCAGCUAGUUGGUGAGGUAAAAGCUCACCAAGGCAACGACGGAUAGCUGGUCUGAGAGGACGAUCAGCCACACUGGGACUGAGACACGGCCCAGACUCCUACGGGAGGCUGCAGCAGGGAAUAUUGCGCAAUGAGCGAAAGCUUGACGCAGCGACACCGCGUGUGGGAUGACGGAUCUAGGUUUGUAAACCACUUUCAGGAGGGAAGAAAAUGACGGUACCUCCACAAGAAGCCCCGGCCAACUACGUGCCAGCAGCCGCGGUAAUACGUAGGGGGCGAGCGUUGUCCGGAUUUAUUGGGCGUAAAGAGCUCGUAGGCGGUUCAACAAGUCGGUCGUAAAAGUUCAGGGCUCAACCCUGAAAUGUCGAUCGAUACUGUUGUGACUAGGAUACGGUAGAGGUGAGUGGAAUUCCGAGUGUAGCGGUGAAAUGCGUAGAUAUUCGGAGGAACACCAAUUGCGAAGGCAGCUCACUGGGCCGCUAUCGACGCUGAGGAGCGAAAGCUAGGGGAGCAAACAGGAUUAGAUACCCUGGUAGUCCUAGCUGUAAACGAUGGAUACUAGACGUAGGAACUGGAUUGACGGUUUCUGUGUCGUAGCUAACGCGUUAAGUAUCCCGCCUGGGGAGUACGGUC